This is an RNA transcript of Zingiber officinale, 2271 nucleotides long. It is a transcript of the gene named exosome complex component RRP45A-like, with no coding region annotated. Lineage: Eukaryota; Viridiplantae; Streptophyta; Magnoliopsida; Zingiberales; Zingiberaceae. The transcript has 12 exons. The record is from RefSeq and is a predicted model, not a curated record.
CACGCAUCCUCUUCGAACCCUAAUUCUCCGCGCUAAACCUUGUCCAUCUAUCUCUCCACCAACGCCGCUAAACCCUAAAUUAUGCCAAUCAUGGAGCAUAAAUCGAUGGCUUGGCGGAUGUCGGUCAAUGAACGGAAGUUCAUAGAGACCGCACUCGCUUCCGAUCUCCGUGUCGACGGCCGGCGCCCUUUUGACUACCGCCGGUUGAACAUUAAGUUUGGGAGAGAAGAUGGUUGUUCAGAAGUGCAACUAGGUGAGACUCAUGUGAUGGCUUAUGUGACUUCUGAACUAGUGCAACCGUAUCGAGAUAGACCAAAUGAAGGAAUUCUUGCUAUAUUCACUGAUUUUUCACCAAUGGCUGAUCCUUCCUUCGAAGCAGGGCGCCCUGGAGAAUCUGCUAUUGAACUUGGUCGUGUUAUAGAUCGUGGUCUUCGGGAAAGCAGGGCGGUGGAUAUGGAGUCCCUAUGUGUUGUUGCAGGAAAAUUAGUGUGGUCUAUCCAAGUGGAUCUACACAUUAUUGAUAAUGGAGGGAAUCUAGUAGAUGCUGCUAAUGUUGCUGCCUUGGCUGCCCUUUUGACAUUUCAAAGGCCUGAAUGUACAGUAGGAGGAGAUAAUGGCCAAGAUAUUAUUAUUCAUGAUCCCAAGGUUGUGGAACCCCUUCCUUUGGUUAUUCAUCAUCUUCCAAUUUCAGUGACUUUUGCAUUUUAUAACAAGGGAGAUAUCAUGGUUAUUGAUCCAACACAUAAAGAAGAGUCUGUUAUGGGAGGAAAGAUGACUGCUACAAUAAAUUCAAACGGUGAUGUUUGUGCAAUUCAAAAAGCAGGAGGAGAAGGUGUCAUGCCAAGUGUAGUCAUGCAGUGUAUAAGAAUCGCCUCUGUGAAAGCUGCUGAUAUCACUAGUAAACUUAAGAAUGCAGUAGAAGUAUACAACACCGAAAGAGCAUUACGGAAGGUUAAGCGCCAUCCAUCUAAAAUGGCACACCAAGUUAGUGUUGCGGAUAUUACACUGGAGGACAAGCAAGUCAAGGAUUUGCCAAGACAUCAAGCAAAAAUGGCAUGUCAACCAUAUAUAGGCUCUAGUCAAGAUGAUGAACCAAAAGUUGAUACUAGAACAUCUACAAAUGCAGAUGGCAACAGUAGUGGCACACAUGCUGAUGCUUUUGUUGGUGGCCCAUCAAAAUGGGAUCCAUAUCCAUUGAGGGUUGGAACAUCUCAAGUACUUGGUACCCUAACGGUAGUUAAGGAAGAACAAGUAGUAAGCGAUGAUCACAGGGCAGUCGAAUGUAGUCUUGACCAUACAACCACUUCUAGUUCGGGAACUGUUAGUGUUUCAGAUGCUAUGCAGAAAUCUAAUACUUCAAAAAGUUUGAAAGAUGCAGUGAAGUUGAAAAAGAGAAAGAAGAAUAGAUCAUCGACCACUACCAGAUGAAUACAUUCAACAUCUACAGUUCUUAUCAGGCAUUUUGCUGUUGUGAAAGUAAUCGUUCUCUGUGCCAUUCGAUGCUUAUGCCAAUGGCUUCCAUCCAAAUUGAUGAAAGCUCUUUAGGCUUGUGAAUGUAGUUGAUUAUCCUGAAGACGAGAGCUCGCUGGAAAUUUGGACACCAGACUCGCAGAGAUCUAUUGCAAUUUGCUUGAUGAAUGAUGAGCCAAGAAGAAUAAAUUGAUAGACAGCAUAUCUAAAUUUUCAAGUAACGCAUACCAGUAAAGGCACUCUUUUUGCAACUCAACCCUUGCAAUGCUGGAACAGAAGCUUGGAUUCUUCGCAGAUAAACACUUCAAGGGAUCAGAAUGGCCAGGUCUUCUCCAGAACUUGAUAUGGCCUUCGCGGGAUACUGUUAGCAAUGAUGCUUUAGUGAAUAUCAAGCCAGAGAGUGGAUCCAAGUGUACUUGCUGAGUUGCAAUAGGAGAGAUUUUAGGCACAUCACUCAUGCUUGGAGAAGGCAGGAUAGCACCAGUGGUGCUAAUGCUAUCCCCAUUUGCUGAGAGAUCACUCUUGGUGGUUGGUGAACCACCAGGUGGACCAUAAAGUGGCACGACAAGUUCAUCGAUCGCCAGAUCCCACAGAAGCAGCUGACUGUCCUGCAAGCUUGUCAUGGAUGUUGAAUGAGAAACAGAAUAAUGAAAUAUUGUGGUAGUUGAGAUAGAGUGAUGCAUCAACCCAGGGAGGAAGACUAAGUGAACAAAUUCCCACAGCAUUGAACUAUCUUAGUUUUACAACUAUCACCAUGCAACUUAUUGAACGAACUGGCAGUAUUGCUUAUCUUAGUUGAAA